UUACAAGUCUGCCACCUCCGCCGCCUCAGCUUCCUGUUUCCCUGACAACGCCACCACCUUUUCCUCUUGUUUCCAUGACGACACCUACUUCUCUUAUAGAGGCAGUAGUCGUGGUGACUUCUGCACCUUCAAAUAUACUUGCUGCGUCUCUCCCUACAAGAACUUCACCUCUUACAAGGGUUGCUUCUCUCCCUACAAAGACCCCUGCGCCAACAAGGAUUUACACCAGCUUUGCUCAUCGAGAUUGGAAGGAAUUGAGUCAAUUGACUAAGGAGUUUCUCAACACCAGAAACUUAUGCAGAAUAUAUACAGCCUCUCCAAGGAUUACCGUGCAACAAUGGGAAUAUGAAUUUCCUAAUCAAAAUAGCUUGAAGACUAGACAGAUUUGGGAAGUC
This 395-nucleotide long non-coding RNA is filed under the name Salvia miltiorrhiza (redroot sage). RNAcentral's name for it is "long non-coding RNA (SMIL_LNC013173)". Lineage: Eukaryota; Viridiplantae; Streptophyta; Magnoliopsida; Lamiales; Lamiaceae. The record is from RNAcentral.